CCUACGGGUGGCAGCAGUGAGGAAUAUUGGUCAAUGGGCUUACGCCUGAACCAGCCAAGUCGCGUGAGGGAAGACUGCCCUAUGGGUUGUAAACCUCUUUUGUCAGGGAGCAAUUGGCGCUACGUGUAGCGUUAUCGAGAGUACCUGAAGAAAAAGCAUCGGCUAACUACGUGCCAGCAGCCGCGGUAAUACGUAGGGGGCGAGCGUUAUCCGGAAUUACUGGGUGUAAAGGGAGCGUAGACGGCGGGGUAAGCCUGAAGUGGAAGCCCGCGGCCCAACCGCGGAAGUGCUUUGGAAACUGUUUGGCUGGAGUAUGGGAGGGGUAAGCGGAAUGCCUGGUGUAGCGGUGAAAUGCGUAGAUAUCAGGAGGAACACCGGUGGCGAAGGCGGCUUACGGGGCCAUAACUGACGUUGAGGCUCGAAAGCGUGGGGAGCGAACAGGAUUAGAUACCCUUGUAGUC
This 461-nucleotide ribosomal RNA is filed under the name uncultured bacterium. RNAcentral describes it as "partial 16S ribosomal RNA". It matches the Rfam family "Bacterial small subunit ribosomal RNA", at positions 338 to 795 of the family's 1533-position model. The record is from RNAcentral.